AGAGUUUGAUCCUGGCUCAGGACGAACGCUGGCGGCGUGCCUAAUACAUGCAAGUCGAGCGAGCUUGCCUAGUUUCAUUUAGUGCUUGCACUAAAUGAAACUAGAUACAAGCGAGCGGCGGACGGGUGAGUAACACGUGGGUAACCUGCCCAAGAGACUGGGAUAACACCUGGAAACAGAUGCUAAUACCGGAUAACAACACUAGACGCAUGUCUAGAGUUUGAAAGAUGGUUCUGCUAUCACUCUUGGAUGGACCUGCGGUGCAUUAGCUAGUUGGUAAGGUAACGGCUUACCAAGGCAAUGAUGCAUAGCCGAGUUGAGAGACUGAUCGGCCACAUUGGGACUGAGACACGGCCCAAACUCCUACGGGAGGCAGCAGUAGGGAAUCUUCCACAAUGGACGAAAGUCUGAUGGAGCAACGCCGCGUGAGUGAAGAAGGGUUUCGGCUCGUAAAGCUCUGUUGGUAGUGAAGAAAGAUAGAGGUAGUAACUGGCCUUUAUUUGACGGUAAUUACUUAGAAAGUCACGGCUAACUACGUGCCAGCAGCCGCGGUAAUACGUAGGUGGCAAGCGUUGUCCGGAUUUAUUGGGCGUAAAGCGAGUGCAGGCGGUUCAAUAAGUCUGAUGUGAAAGCCUUCGGCUCAACCGGAGAAUUGCAUCAGAAACUGUUGAACUUGAGUGCAGAAGAGGAGAGUGGAACUCCAUGUGUAGCGGUGGAAUGCGUAGAUAUAUGGAAGAACACCAGUGGCGAAGGCGGCUCUCUGGUCUGCAACUGACGCUGAGGCUCGAAAGCAUGGGUAGCGAACAGGAUUAGAUACCCUGGUAGUCCAUGCCGUAAACGAUGAGUGCUAAGUGUUGGGAGGUUUCCGCCUCUCAGUGCUGCAGCUAACGCAUUAAGCACUCCGCCUGGGGAGUACGACCGCAAGGUUGAAACUCAAAGGAAUUGACGGGGGCCCGCACAAGCGGUGGAGCAUGUGGUUUAAUUUGAAGCAACGCGGAGACCCUUACCAAGUCUUGACAUCCUGCUGACCGUCCCUUAGCCGGGGCUUUCCUUCGGGACAGCAGAGACAGGUGGUGCAUGGUUGUCGUCAGCUCGUGUCGUGAGAUGUUGGGUUAAGUCCCGCAACGAGCGCAACCCUUAUCCUCAGUAGCCAGCAUUACGGAUGGGAACUCUGGGGAGACUGCCGGAGACAAUCCGGAGGAAGGUGGGGAUGACGUCAAAUCAUCAUGCCCCUUAUGACUUGGGCUACACACGUGCUACAAUGGUGGUAACAAAGUGAAGCGACCCCGUGAGGGUGAGCCAACCACAGAAAAGCCAUCUCAGUUCGGAUUGUAGUCUGCAACCCGACUACAUGAAGCUGGAAUCGCUAGUAAUCGCAGAUCAGAAUGCUGCGGUGAAUACGUUCCCGGGUCUUGCACACACCGCCCGUCA
RNAcentral lists this ribosomal RNA (1431 nucleotides) under uncultured bacterium. RNAcentral's name for it is "bacterial SSU rRNA". It matches the Rfam family "Bacterial small subunit ribosomal RNA". The record is from RNAcentral.